AGGAGCUGGUCCUGGUUUCUGAGUUUGCGUUUCCUCUGAGAACAAACGCACAGCAGCAGACACUAUGCGAGGAGACAAUCAGAAUUAUUUUCUGACUCUUGUGGGAGCCUCUGAAUAUCAAAAACAUCAUUCCUGAUUAACCGUUUUGUAUAUUUCCCCUGCUGAAAAAAAAACAAACUCUCGAGCGAGGCUUUUAAACAGCUGGUCAUAGCUGGCUUUUACAACGGGGUCUGAUUCUGAAAAAUUGACCGGUUUGAUCCUCACAUCAAUGCAGGAUAGCAGUACGAUGUUUUAACAAUAUUUUAUUUCUGAUACAUUAUUUAAAAGAACCCAAAAAGUAUGAUAAAAUGAAUAAUGAUGUGUUGUGCGAAUAUAUUCUAGUCGAAGCUGGCAUCUGUAGCUUCCAUGCAGCAGACGUGGGAGUUGUGCAGUCCUCACUGUGAGUGAGUUUUACAGAAAACGUCUGUUCUGGAUGUGCAAAGAUCAGCUCCAGACAAAGCAGAGUGCGGUCUCUCUAACCCAACCCAAGAGCCCAGUUCUGAUCAGGAGUGCGGUCUCUCUAACCCAACCCAAGAGCCCGGUUCUGAUCAGGAGCGCGGUCUCUCUAACCCAACCCAAGAGCCCGGUUCUGAUCAGGAGUGCGGUCUCUCUAACCCAACCCAAGAGCCCAGUUCUGAUCAGGAGUGCGGUCUCCCUAACCCAACCCAAGAGCCCAGUUCUGAUCAGGAGUGCGGUCUCUCUAACCCAACCCAAGAGCCCAGUUCUGAUCAGGAGCGCGGUCUCUCUAACCCAACCCAAGAGCCCAGUUCUGAUCAGGAGUGCGGUCUCUCUAACCCAACCCAAGAGCCCAGUUGUGAUCAGGAGUGCGGUCUCUCUAACCCAAGCCAAGAGCCCAGUUCUGACCAGGUGUGCGGUCUCUCUAACCCAACCCAAGAGCUCAGUUUUGGCUCAGGUUCAUGCCCCAUCCUGUGACUAAACUGACAGAUUCUGAGUCACACAGACUCACAAUCCACAACCACAGUUCAUCAAAACCAUGGCAACGGUUACCAAGCAACCCUUUUGGGUGCUCCUCUUUCAGCUGUUGGCGUGAGUGCCAGUCUUUGGUAGAAACAGGAGAGGCACAGAGUGGUAUUAAACAGGACAGACACAGAGUGGUAUUGGUCUUUAUUAAACAGGGGAGACACAGUGGUAUUGGUCUUUAUUAAACAGGGGAGACACAGUGGUAUUGGUCUUUAUUAAACAGGGGAGACACAGUGGUAUUGGUCUUUAUUAAACAGGGGAGACACAGUGGUAUUGGUCUUUAUUAAACAGGGGAGACACAGUGGUAUUGGUCUUUAUUAAACAGGGGAGACACAGUGGUAUUGGUCUUUAUUAAACAGGAGAGACACAGAGUGGUAUUGGUCUUUAUUAAACAGGAGAGACACAGUGGUAUUAAACAGGAGAGACAGAGUGGAAUUGGUCUUUAUUAAACGGGAGACACAGUGGUAUUGGUCUUAUUAAACAGGGGAGACACAGUGGUAUUGGUCUUUAUUAAACAGGGGAGACACAGUGGUAUUGGUCUUUAUUAAACGGGAGACACAGUGGUAUUGGUCUUUAUUAAACAGGAGAGACACAGUGGUAUUAAACAGGGGAGACACAGAGCGGUAUUAAGCAGGGGAGACACAGUGGUAUUAAACAGGAGAGACAGAGCGAUAUUAAACAGGAGAGACACAGUGGUAUUAAACAGGGGAGACACAGAGCGGUAUUAAACAGGGGAGACACAGUGGUAUUAAACAGGAGAGACAGAGCGAUAUUAAGCAGGAGAGACACAGAACGGAAUUAAACGGGAGACAGAGAGCAGUAUUAAACAGGAGAGACACAGAGCAGUAUUAAACAGGGGAGACAGAGAGUGGUAUUAAACAGGAGAGACAGAGCGAUAUUAAACAGGAGAGACACAGUGGUAUUAAACAGGGGAGACACAGAGCGGUAUUAAACAGGGGAGACACAGUGGUAUUAAACAGGAGAGACAGAGCGAUAUUAAACAGGAGAGACACAGAGCGAUAUUAAACAGGGGAGACACAGAGCGGUAUUAAACAGGAGAGACACAGAACGGUAUUAAACAGGAGAGACACAGAGUGGUAUUUAUACAACAUGUCCGCUGCAGCAGGGGAGCAGAUGUCUUUGUCAUGCAGGGCUAGGGGCAGUUCAUGGCUUACUGUGAACUGGCGGGACGUGCUAAUCUGCGCUUAAACCUGUCCUGGAGCACGGCUUGCAGAGAAAUGCCAGGAGCGUGUAGAAUUGCAAAACACACACGCACACACACACAUACUUUCAGCCGACCCACACUUAGAGUACGUGCAGAACAGAAACUGCAGGGGUCAUAGGUCACUAUGAACAUUUCUGAUGGGGGGGGAAGGUCUAUGACAUUUGCACACAGAACAUAAGCUUUGGACACUACCAAUUUUGAAAAGCACAAUAUUCUUUUGUAAAAUUCCCUUUUCAUUUUUCCCAAAAACAAAAGUAAGUUGUACUUCCCACAGUGCACUGUGCAAACGCCUACCAUCCAACAAUAAUUUAUCAUUUUAUAGAAUUCAUCAUUGAAAAAGUAAAGAGAUUGUUUUUGUUUAUUUUUAAUCUGUUCGUAAGGUACAGCAUAAUGAAGAGGAGAGGAGACAGUCAUCUCUGUUAGAGGGGAAACCUUGUAUGCCAUGAUAGAUUUGUAUAAAAAGACCUUCAGCAUUUUUACUGUGUCACAAACAGGAGAUUCAAUAAGCCUGUUUCAUGCCAGGGGGAAUUUGAGCCAAUGUUGAACUGAAUAUUGUUUUUUAUUGUUUAGUUAGGAUUUUUAGGGUUUGGUCCUGUUGAUUUUUGUGGCACACUUAGUGAAUAUCACGCUUUUCAAUCUUUGUAAUCUAACAUUCUUACUUUUUUGUCAUCUUUUUAUGGAGAAGAGAAAAAUAAGUUAUCCAGUGUGUUCACAAGGCCUUCACGGUCCCUUUUUAUAGACCAGGAUGGAAAGAUGUAACUUGAAUUAUCGCCUGUGGAAAUAUAAUAAAUGAAUAAACAUGUUCAUAAAUAAAUGAGACCUUUUCUAACCAAA
This is a long non-coding RNA of Conger conger (European conger), 3079 nucleotides long. RefSeq lists it as uncharacterized. Lineage: Eukaryota; Metazoa; Chordata; Actinopteri; Anguilliformes; Congridae. The record is from RefSeq and is a predicted model, not a curated record. The transcript is spliced from 2 exons.